This is a long non-coding RNA of Rhagoletis pomonella (apple maggot), 810 nucleotides long. RefSeq lists it as uncharacterized. The record is from RefSeq and is a predicted model, not a curated record. The transcript is spliced from 2 exons. NCBI's taxonomy places the organism in Eukaryota, Metazoa, Arthropoda, Insecta, Diptera, Tephritidae.
CUUUGCGUUUUGCACUCAGCAGCGACGCCAUCAUUGUGAUUUUCUCUUUACUAAAAUAGCAAAAUAAGAAGGUUUUCAACAACGGUGAUGUGGAUGAUUUCAGCAUAAAAAUAGUCCGUAGUGUAAAAUGAAAAUUUUGCGCAAUUAAUUGUUUAAUAAAAAGCUUUCUACGUACAUAGGACCGCCUCAUCGCCACUUGGGCAAUGCUCCCACAGCUGUAUGGAUUUCGGGCAAUACAAAAUUCAGGCACUGCCACUAGAGCCACUGUGCAUAGGAAAUGCGUUUGAACAACUGCAGACUGUUAAUAUGUAUUCAACUGUUGAAUGAAGGCUUAAAUGAAUGGUUGACUGUUGGCUAAAAACUUCGAUAACUGACUUACUUAGGCCAACCGGUCGAUUGCUGUUACUCGCAUUGCCGCCACAUUAUUCUUCUCUUCUCUGCGUAAAAACGACUGCUACCUGUUGGCCCGCCAGGCGUUUGGUGAUUCAGCAUGCGAACAUAUGUAUGAGCGAAAAUUCCUACAGCAACACGAACACGCUGAAAACAUAACAAUUUCAGCUAAUACGGCCGCAAUAGAAACAACAACAUGUCCACAUUUCAUCACAACAGACCCAGUUUCGAAGCGAUGCGAGCGAACCAACCAGCUUGCCCAACCAUAAAAGCCAAAAAAGUCGUGAAGUUACUAGUCGCAGAGCAAAAGCAACAGACAGACAGACAGCUACGAGUACAUAUGACGGCACUGACAAUACAAGUUGCUUGUCUGCCACUUCAGAUAACAACAAAAUUGCACGGAUAAAUACUAAAAAAAAA